GGAGCUUGCUCCCUGGGUGACGAGCGGCGGACGGGUGAGUAAUGUCUGGGAAACUGCCUGAUGGAGGGGGAUAACUACUGGAAACGGUAGCUAAUACCGCAUAACGUCGCAAGACCAAAGAGGGGGACCUUCGGGCCUCUUGCCAUCAGAUGUGCCCAGAUGGGAUUAGCUAGUAGGUGGGGUAAUGGCUCACCUAGGCGACGAUCCCUAGCUGGUCUGAGAGGAUGACCAGCCACACUGGAACUGAGACACGGCCCAGACUCCUACGGGAGGCAGCAGUGGGGAAUAUUGCACAAUGGGCGCAAGCCUGAUGCACCCAUGCCGCGUGUGUGAAAAAGGCCUUCGGGUUGUAAAGCACUUUCAGCGAGGAGGAAGGUGGUGAACUUAAUACGUUCAUCAAUUGACGUUACUCGG
Molecule: ribosomal RNA, 414 nt
Filed under: Serratia marcescens
Lineage: Bacteria; Pseudomonadati; Pseudomonadota; Gammaproteobacteria; Enterobacterales; Yersiniaceae
Description: bacterial SSU rRNA
Rfam family: Bacterial small subunit ribosomal RNA
Source: RNAcentral